AAAAAGAUUUAUGGAGAGAAAAAUUAUUGAAAUCCUUUAUGGAUAUAAUGACACAAACUUCUUCAAUAGAUGAAGUUUUGAAGACUAAUCAUGAUCUUACGAUUCGACUAAAGUUCAUGGGUUUAUCAAAUUCAUAGAGAGGGAUAUAGUGUUCACUUUGGUCAAGAGUCACAGAAUUUCAUUAGAUUCAUUGUCAAAACAAAUGGCCACUCCAAGGUUGCCGACUUCAUGGAAUAACAAUCUCAAAUUAUAACCUUCGUUGAAGCUCAUUAAAGUGCCAGGGCAAUUUUUUUAGAUUGUUUGAUGUAGUAGUACUUCAAUGCCUUGGACAACUUGGAUAUAUAAGUUUCAGAUAUAGGUGUAUUUUUCUUGAUUCCGAUUCUGGUAGUAAAAUAAAAAGUUCGAGAAAAAAAAAAUCUUUUACUUGGUUUGCUGGAGGUAAGAAUUCGAUGAUGUGUUGAAGAGCAUUCUUAAUUGCCCAAUGUAAGAUUAGACCCUUUUUCCUGAGGAUGACCUCAAGAUGUUGUUCUUUUAGUGGAAGGCUGUUUAUGAAUAGCUUCUGUUAGUCAAAUCCAAUGGACCUUGAAAUCGUUUCCAUUUUGUCUCUUAUGGUUGCCAAAAACUUUGUUUGUGUUGGUGAUUCUGUUACUAUCUGAUUAAUGCAGAGCAAAUAGAACGAAGGGGAAGAGAAACAAAUUCUCA
Molecule: unclassified non-coding RNA, 702 nt
Filed under: Hevea brasiliensis (rubber tree)
Lineage: Eukaryota; Viridiplantae; Streptophyta; Magnoliopsida; Malpighiales; Euphorbiaceae
Source: RNAcentral